This is an unclassified non-coding RNA of Chelonoidis abingdonii (Abingdon island giant tortoise), 137 nucleotides long. The record is from Ensembl. NCBI's taxonomy places the organism in Eukaryota, Metazoa, Chordata, Testudines, Testudinidae.
UUGGAAGCCCUGGAGAUGCAGCUCUUUAAGUUUCCCCACAGGGGCCCAUCAAUGUGGCUCAUGCCUGUCCUGGAGGGAUCAUUUCUAGGAGGUGAAAGCGUAGCUGAGUUUCCAUGCCAAUGCCUUCCUUGGGGGGG